AUUGAACGCUGGCGGCAGGCCUAACACAUGCAAGUCGAGCGAGCGGCGGACGGGUGCGGACUGUAUGGGGACUGCCCGAUAGAGGGGGAUAACUCCUGGAAACGGUAGCUAAUACCGCAUACUAUCGGAUAACCCAUAUGGGAUUAGCUAGUCGGUGAGGUAAUGGCUCACUUAGGCGACGAUCCCUAGCUGGUCUGAGAGGAUGAUCAGCCACACUGGGACUGAGACACGGGCCAGACUCCUACGGAGGCAGCAGUGGGGAAUAUUGCACAAUGGGCGCAAGGCUGAUGCAGCCAUGCCGCGUGGAGGAAGAAGGCCCUAGGGUUGUAAAGUACUGUCAGUCGGGAGGCGUUACCGACAGAAGAAGCACCGGCUAACUCCGUGCCAGCAGCCGCGGUAAUUA
RNAcentral lists this ribosomal RNA (403 nucleotides) under uncultured bacterium. RNAcentral's name for it is "partial 16S ribosomal RNA". It matches the Rfam family "Bacterial small subunit ribosomal RNA", at positions 30 to 525 of the family's 1533-position model. The record is from RNAcentral.